UGUGAGCAUUCCUCUAUCUGUAAGAACUGAGUGCACCAUGUUGUGAGCACUGAGUACCAGUCACUGUUAGUUGCUUUCAGAAAAGAAUGUAGUAAUUCUGUCUUUACAACUUGACUUAGUUAGCAGUAAAACCAAAGAAGCCGCAGGUACUUAAUCAGUUUCUGCCCUUCACAGCUGGGGCACCCAGCUACUCUCAGAUCCGUCAUGUGCAUACCAAACACCAGUCUUGUGAAACUUCCAGUGAUGUACAGCAAGGAUAAAAUCCAGAAACUUUAAAUCAAGGGGAUUACACUGGACGGUGAAAUAGCCUAUAAUUAGCUGGGGAAGAGCAUCAUAAAGCAAUUUCCUUUCCCUAGACGGGUUUUUCUUAUGUUUUAGCUUUCUACAUAUUUUGUGAUGCUUAAACACAGUGAGAGCAACAGGUCUAAUCUAUUUUGUUAUCCAUUCCUGUAUUCAGCACAGCAACAGACACAAAAUGCUGGAGGAACUCAACAGGUCAGGUAGCACCUAUGGAGGAGAAUAAAAAUUAAUGCUUUGGAUCAAGACCCUUCAUCAAAACUGGAAAAGAAAAAAAAAACAGAAGACAGAAUAAAAAGGGAGAUAAUGGCUGCAAAAGACCCAGGAAGCAACAGAACAUCAACUUGAGCAAAGUGCAAGGAGAUCUUGUUUCCAAGAUGGGUUUCCCAUAAAGGAAAUAAAAGACCAACUAGUUGUCCUAAGUUUAAUCUCUCAAGUCUCUAAAUUGUCAAUCCAAGCUCAUCCUCUACCCGUGAACACUUCGCCCUCUACCCGUGAUGUGAACACUUCACCCUCUCCCUGUGACACAUCCCCCUCUAUCCGUGAACACUUCAUCCUCUACUCGUGAACACUUCGUCCUCUACCCUCUACUCAUGAACA
Hypanus sabinus (Atlantic stingray) is the source of this 897-nucleotide long non-coding RNA. RefSeq lists it as uncharacterized. The record is from RefSeq and is a predicted model, not a curated record. The transcript has 2 exons. Lineage: Eukaryota; Metazoa; Chordata; Chondrichthyes; Myliobatiformes; Dasyatidae.